Molecule: RNA transcript, 3672 nt
Organism: Anneissia japonica
Lineage: Eukaryota; Metazoa; Echinodermata; Crinoidea; Comatulida; Comatulidae
Exons: 2
Source: RefSeq, a predicted model, not a curated record
UGACGAAUGUAGAUGUCUUACUAUGUUGAAAGUGUUGUUCAGAGAUAGUGUGCAACAUGGGACACUAGCAAAAUGUCUAAGACGAUGGACCUGCUGAAUGAUUUGCUUGUACGUGGUUCAAAGGAUCUGACUUUACUGUGUGAUACCAUCAGAGUAAAUGGACAUUAUGGUCUUCAAACAAAGAUUCAAGAAACACUAUCAUCAUUCCUAAAUGUUAAAGAAAGGAAAAUUUCAACAAAAUAAAUCACACCUCACAGGCAAAAGCUGAUGGAAUUGGGGGAAAAUUGACUGCAGCUGAUGUGUCACAGAUCGAUGGAUUGUAUAAUGAACCUAAGGAGUAUACAGACAGCUGGAGUAUGAUCUAGAAAGCAGACUGAAUAUGAGAGAAGGAAAUAUGAAGGAUUCGAUUUGUUGGAAAAAUUUAAUCUCAGUCGGGCAUUGGAGGCACUAACAGAAGGUUUUAGAGUUUCUGAGGCAAGAGAUGAAAGUUUUGACCACUGGAAUGAAGCAUCCUGUGUUGGAUGGGCUCGCAAGAAAUGCAUUUUCAUGAUUUGGAAGAGUGGAGAACAUUCUAUCCUGUGCGGAGAGAGAUUGAUAACGACAGGCAAACUACAUUGGUAGAGCGAGUGACGCCGCUCUGAGCUCCGGCUCUUUAGUUUAACAUUUUGCCCACUUCCUUGAUGAGCUUUUACAUUAAAUGUGGAUUCUAAAUGAAGGAAAAUAUAUUUAAUAUUGCUACUUUCAAUGUUAGAGGAUUAGGCGACAAAUUCAAGAGACAUCAACUAGCAACAUAUAUAACAAAUUAUAAGGUGGACGUAGGCUGCCUUCAAGAAACUAAACUCACGGAGACGAUUGACGAAUACGUACACGAAUGCCGAUCCAUCAAUCUAGGCACUAAGGUUAAGUAUUAUGGAUGUGGCUUCAUUAUUCACAAGCGAUGGGCACCAAGUAUUUCUAAAUUUUGGAAAGUUUCAGACCGAAUAUCAGUUUUACAACUUAAAACGAAGGAGAACAAGUUUAUUACUUUAAUUAAUGUCUAUGCACCCACCAUUAACCGGGCAGAAAAAUACCCGGCCGAACGUGAACGUAUGUACAAGGAAUUAGAUUAACUCGUAAGUAAAUUUGCAAAUAAGACAUUUCUUCUAAUAUGCGGAGAUUUUAAUUCAAAAAUUGGCAAGAAACAUUUAGAUGAAGAAAAAUGUAUCGGAAAUUAUUCAAAAAGAUUUCGUAAUGAUAAUGGGGAUGCCCUAAUUGAUUUUUGUGAAAAUAACAAUCUAUUUAUCACAAAUAGCGCUUUUCAACACCCUGCAAGACACAUCACAACUUGGGCAUAUCAACGGAAAAACAAAAAUGGACAAUGAAUUAAUAUUUACAACCAGAUAGACUUUAUUAUUUGUAAAACAAGGUGCAAAAAACACUACCUUGUAACUCUAGAUCAUACGGAGGUACACAAGUAAUAAGCGAUCAUAGAAUCGUAAUAACAACACUUACAUUGACUUGGCAUAACAUUAAACGACAACGAAACUCAAACAAUAGUAGGCAAUUUGCAUGUGAAAAACUGGCGGAUAAAGACAAACGAAAGAAGUAUGUGGACGAUUUUAUUAAAAACACAACAGAUAACAGAAUACCUGAUCGACCCAAUAGAGCAUGGGAACAUAUAAGAAAAGUGAUUAAAAGAGCUGCAGAAAAUUCUAUUGGUUUCAAACAAAUAAAUCAAAACAACAAUAGAAAAUUACGACGAAGAAAUUCAAGAUCUAUCCAUUAAACAGAAAAGCAUACGGUUAAGGAUUACAAACUGCAAAACAGACGACGAACGAAAUAUUCUUAAAAAAGAAAGAAACAAGGUACUACAUGAAAUCCAACACUGAACAAGUGAAAAUAGAAACAAUGAACUUGACGCUAAAAGUUAUGACAUUGACCAAGCCGUUAACGGCGCCAGAAUGUUUAGAGCGGUAAAAGAACUUUAUAGAAAAAAAUACGAAAUUCCAAAAGUCGUAGAUGACAGCGGAAAAUUUAUUGGAAACGAUCAGGAAACUGCUAGGGCCAUUGGUAAACUUUUUAAAAGUAAAUUCUUCAACAUAAAUGGUCCGAUCAUCGCACCAUUCGAAGGACAAGGAAGGCCUCUUAUAAAUGAAUAACAAAAUCCGAAGUUUACAAAAGUUUGAAAAAACUAAACAAUAAUCGCUCAGCUGGAGAAGAUGAAUUAAAGGGUGAACUAUAAAAAUAUGGUGCAGAUGUUCUGUCGCCUAUUAUAGUAAACAUUUUCAAUAAUAUUUUCAUAAUGCAUGAACCUAUUGAUAUAAAUAAAGGUAUCCUCGUCGCACUACAAAAACCUGGUAAGGAAAAGGGUCUGAUGAAAAAUCUCAGACCAGUCAUAUUACUCAACACCAUCAGAAAAUGCAUGUCACUGAUUGUGCUAGAAAGAAUCCGCCACAAAAUUGACAGCUACCUACCAACAAGUCAAAGUGGAUUCCGACCUGGACGCAGCACAAGCGACGUAGUUCUGACUUAUAAAUGAAUGAUUGCCAAAGCAUCAAGAUACAAUCUUGAAUUCCACAUCACUGGGAUUGAUAUGACGAGUGCAUUCGAUACCAUUAACAGGGACACACUUUUACAAGUACUGAAUGGGAUUAUUAAUGAAGACGAACUUCGGAUAAUAAGAUUUUUGCUAAGCCAUAAACAGGGCUCAACUUAAACUUACGAAGGACUUUAGACAACGUAUAUUUUGACACGAAUACUGGAGUACCACAAGGGGACAGUCUUAGCCCAGUGCUCUUCACGGUGUACCUUGAACACGGCUUAAGGGGAAUAAGGGAGAGAAGUAAUGAUCAUAUUCCAAAUGAGAUCUCGUAUGCGGAUGAUGUCGAUUUCAUCAGCCUAAACGAGAAGGCUAAUGUAGACCUUAUUGGAGCUCACCUAAUUUCGUUUAAUCUUAAACAAAGAUAAAACAGAAUACAUAGUAAUUAAACGAGAAGAACUGGUCAAAGAGAACUGGAGACUAACAAAAAAGUUAGGGUCCCUUCUUGGAGACAAAGAAGAUAUCACCAGAAGGAAACAACUUGCUGUGAACACAAUGAACAAAAAGACAGCACUCUGGAACAGAAAAGAAAAAAUUAGAUUAAAAACAAGACCGAGGUUGUACAACUCACUAGUGAAACCGGUGCUUUUAUACAAUAGUAAUACAUGGGCCUUAACGAAAGAUGAUGAACUAAAGCUAAACACUUUCCAUCGUAAGCAACUCCGAAAGAUUAUUGGACUGAAAUAUCCACAUAGAAUAUCAAAUAAACACCUUUAUGAUAGAUGUACGGCGAGACCCAUGUCACUAGAAAUUUUAGAAUCGAGAUGGCGAUUAUUUGGCCACAUCCUGAGACAAAACACAAACAAUCCUACAAACCUGGCAAUCGACUUCUACUUCACCGAGACCAAUGACAGAAAAUUCAGGGGACGUCCAAGGACUACAAUAAUCACAACUCUCCAUAACGACCUAUAGUAAGAUCCAGUCUACCAAUACUCAAUAUCCUGCUCAACUAAAAAUUUAAAAUGAUAUGGAGAAAUUAAAAUUACUGGCACAAAACAGACACAUUUGGAAAGGGCUCAUCGAGGAACUAAGUAAAGCGGCCGAAGCGGAACUGAAAUCGGACUUUUCGGCGAUACGGCGAUGAUGAGGAUGAU